CAGUCGCCACGGUAAUACGUAGGGUGCGAGCGUUAAUCGGAAUUAUUGGGCGUAAAGGGCUCGCAGGCGGUUUCUUAAGUCUGAUGUGAAAGCCCCCGGCUCAACCGGGGAGGGUCAUUGGAAACUGGGAAACUUGAGUGCAGAAGAGGAGAGUGGAAUUCCACGUGUAGCGGUGAAAUGCGUAGAGAUGUGGAGGAACACCAGUGGCGAAGGCGACUCUCUGAUCUGUAACUGACGCUGAGGAGCGAAAGCGUGGGGAGCGAACAGGAUUAGAUACCCAGUAGUCCCUGUCUCUUAUACA
This 301-nucleotide ribosomal RNA is filed under the name uncultured bacterium. RNAcentral describes it as "partial 16S ribosomal RNA". It matches the Rfam family "Bacterial small subunit ribosomal RNA", at positions 509 to 808 of the family's 1533-position model. The record is from RNAcentral.